UUGAACGCUGGCGGCAUGCCUUACACAUGCAAGUCGAACGGCAGCACGGGUGCUUGCACCUGGUGGCGAGUGGCGAACGGGUGAGUAAUACAUCGGAACAUGUCCUGUAGUGGGGGAUAGCCCGGCGAAAGCCGGAUUAAUACCGCAUACGAUCUACGGAUGAAAGCGGGGGACCUUCGGGCCUCGCGCUAUAGGGUUGGCCGAUGGCUGAUUAGCUAGUUGGUGGGGUAAAGGCCUACCAAGGCGACGAUCAGUAGCUGGUCUGAGAGGACGACCAGCCACACUGGGACUGAGACACGGCCCAGACUCCUACGGGGGGCAGCAGUGGGGAAUUUUGGACAAUGGGCGAAAGCCUGAUCCAGCAAUGCCGCGUGUGUGAAGAAGGCCUUCGGGUUGUAAAGCACUUUUGUCCGGAAAGAAAUCCUUGGCUCUAAUACAGUCGGGGGAUGACGGUACCGGAAGAAUAAGCACCGGCUAACUACGUGCCAGCAGCCGCGGUAAUACGUAGGGUGCGAGCGUUAAUCGGAAUUACUGGGCGUAAAGCGUGCGCAGGCGGUUUGCUAAGACCGAUGUGAAAUCCCCGGGCUCAACCUGGGAACUGCAUUGGUGACUGGCAGGCUAGAGUAUGGCAGAGGGGGGUAGAAUUCCCACGUGUAGCAGUGAAAUGCGUAGAGAUGUGGAGGAAUACCGAUGGCGAAAGGCAGCCCCCUGGGCCAAUACUGACGCUCAUGCACGAAAGCGUGGGGAGCAAACAGGAUUAGAUACCCUGGUAGUCCACGCCCUAAACGAUGUCAACUAGUUGUUGGGGAUUCAUUUCCUUAGUAACGUAGCUAACGCGUGAAGUUGACCGCCUGGGGAGUACGGUCGCAAGAUUAAAACUCAAAGGAAUUGACGGGGACCCGCACAAGCGGUGGAUGAUGUGGAUUAAUUCGAUGCAACGCGAAAAACCUUACCUACCCUUGACAUGGUCGGAAUCCUGCUGAGAGGCGGGAGUGCUCGAAAGAGAACCGGCGCACAGGUGCUGCAUGGCUGUCGUCAGCUCGGGUCGUGAGAUGUUGGGUUAAGUCCCGCAACGAGCGCAACCCUUGUCCUUAGUUGCUACGCAAGAGCACUCUAAGGAGACUGCCGGUGACAAACCGGAGGAAGGUGGGGAUGACGUCAAGUCCUCAUGGCCCUUAUGGGUAGGGCUUCACACGUCAUACAAUGGUCGGAACAGAGGGUUGCCAACCCGCGAGGGGGAGCUAAUCCCAGAAAACCGAUCGUAGUCCGGAUUGCACUCUGCAACUCGAGUGCAUGAAGCUGGAAUCGCUAGUAAUCGCGGAUCAGCAUGCCGCGGUGAAUACGUUCCCGGGUCUUGUACACACCGC
Molecule: ribosomal RNA, 1367 nt
Filed under: uncultured beta proteobacterium
Lineage: Bacteria; Pseudomonadati; Pseudomonadota; Betaproteobacteria
Description: bacterial SSU rRNA
Rfam family: Bacterial small subunit ribosomal RNA
Source: RNAcentral